Molecule: unclassified non-coding RNA, 379 nt
Filed under: uncultured Alphaproteobacteria bacterium
Lineage: Bacteria; Pseudomonadati; Pseudomonadota; Alphaproteobacteria
Description: contains 16S-23S intergenic spacer region
Source: RNAcentral
UCGCGGCUUAUCACCGGCAGUCCCCUUAGAGUGCCCAGCCAAACCUGAUGGCAACUAAAGGCGAGGGUUGCGCUCGUUGCGGGACUUAACCCAACAUCUCACGUCACGAGCUGACGACAGCCAUGCAGCACCUGUGCGAGGGGUCCUCGCGGAAACGCGCAUCUCUGCGCGCGGCCCCUCCAUGUCAAGUCCUGGUAAGGUUCUGCGCGUUGCGUCGAAUUAAACCACAUGCUCCACCGCUUGUGCGGGCCCCCGUCAAUUCCUUUGAGUCUCAACCUUGCGGCCGUACUCCCCAGGCGGUGUGCUUAUCGCGUUAGCUACGACACUGAACAGUCAGACUGCCCAACAUCCAGCACACAUCGUUUACGGCGUGGACUAC